UCCCUGGUAGCUAAGCUGUUAAAGAAUCUGCCUGCAAUGCAGGCAGACCCUGGUUUGAUUCCUGGGUUGGGAA
RNAcentral lists this transfer RNA (73 nucleotides) under Ovis aries (sheep). It matches the Rfam family "tRNA". Rfam says of the family: Transfer RNA (tRNA) molecules are approximately 80 nucleotides in length. Their secondary structure includes four short double-helical elements and three loops (D, anti-codon, and T loops). Further hydrogen bonds mediate the characteristic L-shaped molecular structure. tRNAs have two regions of fundamental functional importance: the anti-codon, which is responsible for specific mRNA codon recognition, and the 3' end, to which the tRNAs corresponding amino acid is attached (by aminoacyl-tRNA synthetases). tRNAs cope with the degeneracy of the genetic code in two manners: having more than one tRNA (with a specific anti-codon) for a particular amino acid; and 'wobble' base-pairing, i.e. permitting non-standard base-pairing at the 3rd anti-codon position. The record is from Rfam by way of RNAcentral. Lineage: Eukaryota; Metazoa; Chordata; Mammalia; Artiodactyla; Bovidae.